AGACCUCUGAAAUCCGGGAAAAUACACAGGUUUUGUUCUAUUUUUGAAAUUAUUUUUUCAGCUUAAGUGGUUUGGGAACUAUUUUUUUCCCCCCCCAGGUAAAGUAGUUUUAUUUUAAUAACUGCAAGCAGCUCUGUUUGUGUCCUUCAGGCAGAAAUCCCCACCGCGACCACGUUGCUGUGCUAAUGGAAAUAAAAGGUGGAAAACUCCAGCCAGAGGAGCUGGAGCUCCUUCUGCCCAGCCUCGGGACGUCCUGGGAACAGCUCUGGAGCCAAGGCUCAGGGUGGCACUGCCAAGGAAUUGUCACCUUCUGGGGACAGGGCAGAGGGCUCAGGGUGGGCUCUGCCAGGCUCAGCUCUCCCCACCCAAAAUCUCUGAUCCCACCCAAAGGGCUGAACUCCAGCUCAGCACUGAUACCCAAACCUGCAUCCCCUCCCCUGGGCCCAGAAAAGCCAAAAAUCCUCAUUUUAAUUUCCAAAUCUCCACAUUUCCAUGAAUUAUUCUAACAAAACACCCCUGACUUGCUCGCUGGGGUAAUUCCAGAAAUAUUUUUGCUACAAAAGCUGCAUUUUGGUCGGGAACUGUGCUUUCAUUGCACAGAAAAAGGCAUCCUAGGGGGUGAUAAAAAUACCUCUGACAAUAUUGUGUGCAGUGAAAAAAGGCUUUGGUUUUCCUUCCCUGAAAGGCCAAGUUUGAGCACAAAGGGGCCCAGGGGUCAGGGUCACCCCUGGAUGUUUGGGGAGCACCAUUCCAUGGCACCCAGGGGCUCCGAGGGUUUCUGUUUCCACUUGGAAUAUUUGUCAGGAAAAGGUGGAUUUCUCCUCAGAAGCCUCGAUCCCACUUUGAAUUUCCAGGAAGGAAAUGGGUGUUUGCAGCUGGCAUGGAAAACGCCCCAAUGUCAGUGGGAUAUUUCUUACCUGCCACUCACAAUUCUGAUUUUUGGGGGUCAUUGUGCAGCAGGAUCCUUUCUCCUGGAAACACCAGGGAGGUUGAAAUAGUUCUUCCCCAUGGAAAAACCCACAAUUAAAUCCUUUUUAGCCUGGGAUAUUUUCCCAUUUUAUUCCUUACUCCUGCAUCACUAAUUUAAAUACGUCCUGUGAUCUAAGAUUGUAAAAAAAAAUUGUACAAACAUUUUGAAAACCCAAAUCUUUCUGCACCUGUGCCCACUGGUUACUUGGGAGGUGUUAAAAUAAUUUAUCCCAUUAUCCUAACGAUGCACCCAGAGAGGAUUUGCCAGGUGAUCUGCUUAAACCCAGAACAUCACUACAUGGAGAGUGUGAAAAAUAUU
Molecule: non-coding RNA, 1288 nt
Organism: Taeniopygia guttata (zebra finch)
Lineage: Eukaryota; Metazoa; Chordata; Aves; Passeriformes; Estrildidae
Source: RefSeq, a predicted model, not a curated record